CAGUAGACGCUGAAUAAGAGCUUGCUCUUAUGGAUGAGUUGCGAACGGGUCAGUAACACGUGGGGAACCUACCUUCUAGCGGGGGACAACACAUAGAAAUGUGUGCUAAUACCGCAUAAUAGUAUUUGAUGCAUAUCAGAUACUUGAAAGGCGCAAUUGCGUCACUAGAAGAUGGCCCCGCGGUGCAUUAGCUAGUUGGUGAGGUAACGGCUCACCAAGGCAAUGAUGCAUAGCCGACCUGAGAGGGUGAUCGGCCACACUGGGACUGAGACACGGCCCAGACUCCUACGGGAGGCAGCAGUAGGGAAUCUUCGGCAAUGGACGCAAGUCUGACCGAGCAACGCCGCGUGAGUGAAGAAGGUUUUCGGAUCGUAAAACUCUGUUGUAAGAGAAGAACGUUGAUGAGAGUGGAAAGUUCAUCAAGUGACGGUAUCUUACCAGAAAGCCACGGCUAACUACGUGCCAGCAGCCGCGGUAAUACGUAGGUGGCAAGCGUUGUCCGGAUUUAUUGGGCGUAAAGCGAGCGCAGGCGGUUGAUUAAGUCUGAUGUGAAAGCCCCCGGCUCAACCGGGGAGGGUCAUUGGAAACUGGUCAACUUGAGUGCAGAAGAGGAGAGUGGAAUUCCAUGUGUAGCGGUGAAAUGCGUAGAUAUAUGGAGGAACACCAGUGGCGAAGGCGGCUCUCUGGUCUGUAACUGACGCUGAGGCUCGAAAGCGUGGGGAGCGAACAGGAUUAGAUACCCUGGUAGUCCACGCCGUAAACGAUGAGUGCUAAGUGUUGGAGGGUUUCCGCCCUUCAGUGCUGCAGCUAACGCAUUAAGCACUCCGCCUGGGGAGUACGACCGCAAGGUUGAAACUC
Molecule: ribosomal RNA, 858 nt
Filed under: uncultured bacterium
Lineage: Bacteria
Description: bacterial SSU rRNA
Rfam family: Bacterial small subunit ribosomal RNA
Source: RNAcentral